This 1705-nucleotide long non-coding RNA is filed under the name Sus scrofa (pig). RNAcentral describes it as "lncRNA (ENSSSCG00055016553.1)". The record is from RNAcentral. Lineage: Eukaryota; Metazoa; Chordata; Mammalia; Artiodactyla; Suidae.
GAGCUCUGUCCAGUGGGGACCUCACCUGCAUGGUCACCAGAGAGAGAAAGACUAUGAAUUCAGGCUAAUUAGGGACUUGCCCCAGUUAGGACCCAGCCUCCAUUCUGGGUCUGGGGACAAGGGCCUGCAGAGCGGGGUCCCUGCGGCGGGCUCUCCCACCUCAGCUCACAGCUGCGUGUCGGGGGUCUUAGCCCUACACCCUUCUCGGGGCCAGUGCUGUCUUGUGUCCCUUACCAGAUUGUAAGCUCUGCGAGGGCUGGGAGCCCCCAGGGCCACACUGGGCCUUUGUGCCACAAGCACCGGGUGCACAGCCGAGGCCCCGCCCUCUGGCUGACUCGGAGCAGCCCAGCCAGGCAGCGGGCAACCAGGAAGGAACAAGGCAGACCCCCUGGCUUUGAGCAGAGAACAGGAGGCCCUCCGGAGAGGCCGGCGGUCCACGAGGGCGACUGUGAAACCAGGGACCCUGAGGAGACUUCUCUCCUUCACCUGAACUCUACGAGGAGAUGGAGCCUGGGUGCCAGGAGAGACCCCUGUGCCCGUCCCUCUCCUCCGGGAGCCAAGACGAAUGUGGGUGAGCCUCUCCUGGAUCUCGGCUCUCCCGUGUUGGUUGAUGAUCCUGAGUUUUAUUUGGCCGGGUGUAAUGGGUACCUGCCCCCUCAGGGGAAAGAUACUGGGGGUGCUGGUUGAAAGAUACCGGGGGAUACCCCCAAGCAGAGAUGCUGGGAGGACGCUGGCCAGGGACACCUCCUCAGUGGAGAAUACUGGGGGGAGAGAAUACCCCUUGGCGGAGAUGCUGCGGGGGGCGGGGGGUGUGUGUGUGUUCAGUUGAAAAGAUACUGGGGACCAUACCUCGACAGUGGAGACACUGGGGGCUCCUUUGAAAGACACUGAGGUUUGUUCAGUUGAAAGAGACUGAGUGGUCUGGGCUGAAUGUUUAGGUUAAGAGGCUGACCUGAUGCUUUUCCUCAGUUCAGCUGCAUUAAUGGAAUUUGUGGGGAUAAAGGUUAAGAUAUUACAUGAGAGCAUUUGCUCGAAAGAAAAGGGACAAGACUCCCCCAAGGGGGUUACGGUUUUCUCAAGUGACUGAGAAAUGUAACAACGGGAGGGUGGAGGCUGAAUCCUCGUGCCCUGCAGGGGUCCCACAGGGAGAGCCACACAUUUGUUAAAACUCGAUCUAUCAGGGACAUGUAUAGGAACUGGUGAUUUGAGCAGCCAUGGUGUCCCAGAUGCCACUGGGAGACCUGAGACCCGAUAAGAGGGGGCUGAAGCAACUCUGGGCAAAACCUAGAGGCAUUAAGCUCUCAAGCAGCACACUGGCCCACCACUCAAAUGUCAUAAGCAGACUUAGCCCCAACAAACUCAGCUGAGGUCUCUUAAACAAACAAAUAAAAACACGAAGGGUAUCAGGAAGCCAGCCUCCAACUAACACCUCAGCCAGGUUUGCAAGUACCUACUUAGUUGGGUAUUAAAGAAAAAAUUUUGCCCUGAAAAUAGCCAAAAAGGACUCUUUUUAUUGCAUAUGCAGUUGUGAGAGAGAGCUAGCUUAAAAGAGAGGAAAAAAUCCUUUCAAAAUUCUAACCUGAGGGAACGAGUCCUACUAGGAGACCCUGCUUCCUGUCCCUGAGCCUUGAGACCAGGCUCUCAGGAAGGCUUAUCUUAUCCAGACCGUCUCUAAUUCCUGAGACUGGGAAAAAAAAAAAAAAAA